UAGGGAAUCUUCCGCAAUGGGCGAAAGCCUGACGGAGCAACGCCGCGUGAGUGAUGAAGGUCUUCGGAUCGUAAAACUCUGUUAUUAGGGAAGAACAAAUGUGUAAGUAACUAUGCACGUCUUGACGGUACCUAAUCAGAAAGCCACGGAUAACUACGUGCCAGCAGCCGCGGCACUACGUAGGUGGCAAGCGUUAUCCGGAAUUAUUGGGCGUAAAGCGCGCGUAGGCGGUUUUUUAAGUCUGAUGUGAAAGCCCACGGCUCAACCGUGGAGGGUCAUUGGAAACUGGAAAACUUGAGUGCAGAAGAGGAAAGUGGAAUUCCAUGUGUAGCGGUGAAAUGCGCAGAGAUAUGGAGGAACACCAGUGGCGAAGGCGACUUUCUGGUCUGUAACUGACGCUGAUGUGCGAAAGCGUGGGGAUCAAACAGG
RNAcentral lists this ribosomal RNA (429 nucleotides) under Actinomycetes bacterium. Its description in RNAcentral is "Actinobacteria bacterium partial 16S ribosomal RNA". It matches the Rfam family "Bacterial small subunit ribosomal RNA", at positions 355 to 776 of the family's 1533-position model. Lineage: Bacteria; Bacillati; Actinomycetota; Actinomycetes. The record is from RNAcentral.